GAUGAACGCUAGCGAUAGGCUUAACACAUGCAAGUCGAGGGGCAGCACAAGGUAGCUUGCUAUCUGGGUGGCGACCGGCGCACGGGUGCGUAACGCGUAUGCAACUUGCCCUAUACAGGAGGAUAACCCGUCGAAAGACGGACUAAUACUGCGUAUGCUCACAACUUGGCAUCAAGUGGUGAGGAAAGAAAUUCGGUAUAGGAUAGGCAUGCGUCCCAUUAGCUUGUUGGUGAGGUAACGGCUCACCAAGGCAACGAUGGGUAGGGGAACUGAGAGGUUUAUCCCCCACACUGGUACUGAGACACGGACCAGACUCCUACGGGAGGCAGCAGUGAGGAAUAUUGGUCAAUGGGCGCGAGCCUGAGCCAGCCAAGUCGCGUGAAGGAUGACUGUCUUAUGGAUUGUAAACUUCUUUUAUACGGGAAUAACAAGAGUCACGUGUGACUCCCUGCAUGCACCGUAUGAAUAAGCAUCGGCUAACUCCGUG
RNAcentral lists this ribosomal RNA (487 nucleotides) under uncultured bacterium. Its description in RNAcentral is "partial 16S ribosomal RNA". It matches the Rfam family "Bacterial small subunit ribosomal RNA", at positions 28 to 507 of the family's 1533-position model. The record is from RNAcentral.